Prionailurus viverrinus (fishing cat) is the source of this 477-nucleotide long non-coding RNA. RefSeq lists it as uncharacterized. The transcript is spliced from 3 exons. The record is from RefSeq and is a predicted model, not a curated record. Lineage: Eukaryota; Metazoa; Chordata; Mammalia; Carnivora; Felidae.
AGCCGGCUGAGCCACAUCAAACUCUCCACACGCUGGAAUUAAAGCUUCAGGCCCAACCAGCUCUAUGAAGAAUGUUGCAACGUGUUGUUCUGAGAGUCCAAAUUGUUAUCCACAUAUGACAGUUACAAGACUGGUCACAGAUUUCUCAAACUAUUUUAUGUCUGAACAAUCCUUUGUAUUCAGUUUGACAGAAACUGAAAGUAACCAACUACUACGGUCAACUUUCACAAAUGCAAGAAAUGAUGAGCAAUCUGGAAUUUCAAGUUCAACAAAUCAGGACUCAAGUGGAGAGCCAGGAUGUUGACUAGGAACAACUCCUGGGCUGAGAUUCAACCAGUGAAUGAAACUGAAAAGUACCAUAAACUAAUGAAUGGCAAGUCUGGGAACACUCUACUUUCAAACAGCAGGGGACACCUACAGUAUUACCCAUAUUUUAUAGGGUAGUAAAAUGAGACACAGAGAGGCUGAGUGUCUUGC